UGGGGAAUAUUGCACAAUGGGGGAAACCCUGAUGCAGCGACGCCGCGUGAAGGAAGAAGUAUCUCGGUAUGUAAACUUCUAUCAGCAGGGAAGAAAAUGACGGUACCUGACUAAGAAGCCCCGGCUAACUACGUGCCAGCAGCCGCGGUAAUACGUAGGGGGCAAGCGUUAUCCGGAUUUACUGGGUGUAAAGGGAGCGUAGACGGCAUGGCAAGUCUGAAGUGAAAGCCCGGGGCUCAACCGCGGGACUGCUUUGGAAACUGUGGAUCUAGAGUGCCGGAGAGGUAAGCGGAAUUCCUAGUGUAGCGGUGAAAUGCGUAGAUAUUAGGAGGAACACCAGUGGCGAAGGCGGCUUACUGGACGGUAACUGACGUUGAGGCUCGAAAGCGUGGGGAGCAAACAGGAUUAGAUACCC
RNAcentral lists this ribosomal RNA (415 nucleotides) under uncultured bacterium. Its description in RNAcentral is "bacterial SSU rRNA". It matches the Rfam family "Bacterial small subunit ribosomal RNA", at positions 355 to 787 of the family's 1533-position model. The record is from RNAcentral.